This 19-nucleotide transfer RNA is filed under the name Lespedeza cuneata (sericea lespedeza). RNAcentral's name for it is "partial tRNA-Glu". The record is from RNAcentral. Lineage: Eukaryota; Viridiplantae; Streptophyta; Magnoliopsida; Fabales; Fabaceae.
UUUCAAGGAGGCAGCGGGG